GACGCUGGCGGUGCGCCUUAUGCAUGCAAGUCGAGCGAAGCUUUUCAGUAGUUUACUACAGAAAAUGACUGAGCGGCGAACGGGUGAGUAACGCGUGAGCAAUCUACCUUAGUUACAGGGAUAGCCCGAGGAAACUCGGAUUAAUACCUGAUAUUCUUUACAUUUCGCAUGAAAUCAAAAGGAAAGGUCAGCCGAACUAAGAUGAGCUCGCGUUCUAUCAGCUAGUUGGUGAGGUAAAAGCUCACCAAGGCAACGACGGAUAGCUGGUCUGAGAGGACGAUCAGCCACACUGGGACUGAGACACGGCCCAGACUCCUACGGGAGGCUGCAGCAGGGAAUAUUGCGCAAUGAGCGAAAGCUUGACGCAGCGACACCGCGUGUGGGAUGACGGAUCUAGGUUUGUAAACCACUUUCAGGAGGGAAGAAAAUGACGGUACCUCCACAAGAAGCCCCGGCCAACUACGUGCCAGCAGCCGCGGUAAUACGUAGGGGGCGAGCGUUGUCCGGAUUUAUUGGGCGUAAAGAGCUCGUAGGCGGUUCAACAAGUCGGUCGUAAAAGUUCAGGGCUCAACCCUGAAAUGUCGAUCGAUACUGUUGUGACUAGGAUACGGUAGAGGUGAGUGGAAUUCCGAGUGUAGCGGUGAAAUGCGUAGAUAUUCGGAGGAACACCAAUUGCGAAGGCAGCUCACUGGGCCGCUAUCGACGCUGAGGAGCGAAAGCUAGGGGAGCAAACAGGAUUAGAUACCCUGGUAGUCCUAGCUGUAAACGAUGGAUACUAGACGUAGGAACUGGAUUGACGGUUUCUGUGUCGUAGCUAACGCGUUAAGUAUCCCGCCUGGGGAGUACGGU
Molecule: ribosomal RNA, 849 nt
Filed under: uncultured bacterium
Lineage: Bacteria
Description: bacterial SSU rRNA
Rfam family: Bacterial small subunit ribosomal RNA
Source: RNAcentral